RNAcentral lists this ribosomal RNA (500 nucleotides) under uncultured bacterium. Its description in RNAcentral is "partial 16S ribosomal RNA". It matches the Rfam family "Bacterial small subunit ribosomal RNA", at positions 28 to 523 of the family's 1533-position model. The record is from RNAcentral.
GACGAAUGCUGGCGGCGUGCCUAAUACAUGCAAGUCGAGCGAGACUCUUCGGAGUCUAGCGGCGGACGGGUGAGUAACACGUGGGCAACCUGCCUGUGAGACUGGGAUAACACCGGGAAACCGGUGCUAAUACCGGAUAAUCCUUUUUCUCUCAUGAGGAAAAGCUGAAAGUCGGUUUCGGCUGACACUUACAGAUGGGCCCGCGGCGCAUUAGCUAGUUGGUGAGGUAACGGAUCACCAAGGCGACGAUGCGUAGCCGACCUGAGAGGGUGAUCGGCCACACUGGGACUGAGACACGGCCCAGACUCCUACGGGAGGCAGCAGUAGGGAAUCUUCCACAAUGGACGAAAGUCUGAUGGAGCAACGCCGCGUGAGCGAUGAAGGCCUUCGGGUCGUAAAGCUCUGUUGUUAGGGAAGAACAAGUACCGGAGUAACUGCCGGUACCUUGACGGUACCUAACCAGAAAGCCACGGCUAACUACGUGCCAGCCGCCGCGGUAA